CGCCUCUUGAUUGAACCAUAAGAGGUCCAGCCUGCCCAGUGACAUUGUUCAACGGCCGCGGUAUCCUAACCGUGCGAAGGUAGCGUAAUCACUUGUCCCUUAAAUGGGGACUAGUAUGAAUGGCCACACGAAAGCUAUACUGUCUCCUUUUUCCAAUCAGUUAAACUAAUCUUCCCGUGAAGAAGCGGGAAUAAACAUACAAGACGAGAAGACCCUAUGGAGCUUUAAACAAUUGAAACACUUGCAUUUUAUUUUUAAGCCUACAUUAAACCUCACAUUUUGUUUCUAGUUUUAGGUUGGGGUGACCGCGGAGAAAAGACUAACCUCCACGCUGAAAGAGAUUUUCCCUCUAAACAAAAAGCUACAUCUUUAAGUAUUAAUAUAUUAACCUUAAUUGACCCAAUUUAUUGAUCAACGAACCAAGUUACCCUAGGGAUAACAGCGCAAUCCAUUUCAAGAGCUCUUAUCGACAAAUGGGUUUACGACCUCGAUGUUGGAUCAGGGUGUCCCAGUGGUGCAGCCGCUACUAAUGGUUCGUUUGUUCAACGAUUAAAACCCU
RNAcentral lists this ribosomal RNA (559 nucleotides) under Anomaloglossus roraima. RNAcentral's name for it is "partial 16S ribosomal RNA". It matches the Rfam family "Bacterial large subunit ribosomal RNA", at positions 1817 to 2597 of the family's 2925-position model. The record is from RNAcentral. Lineage: Eukaryota; Metazoa; Chordata; Amphibia; Anura; Aromobatidae.